CUAAAGGGCGCUGGGCGCCCUUUUCUGCUGUUGCUUUUAUUUUUGAUAGUUUAAGGGGUUCCGGACGUCCGUUUUGGACGUUCUUUAGGUCGUUCUGGGGGUUUUUGACCCUUCCGGAGCCAUUGGUGAUGGUUUCCAAGCUAUUUGAAUUACCUAAGUAUUGGUAAUUUAAGAUUAUAAGGAUAUUUGUAUUAAUAAGUGAUGUUUUUCUGAAAAUAUGUAAUUCUUGUUUUCUCUUCCUUUCUUGUGUGAUGAUCUAGGUAUCUUUUCUU
This 272-nucleotide long non-coding RNA is filed under the name Vigna radiata. RNAcentral's name for it is "long non-coding RNA (VRAD_LNC003597)". The record is from RNAcentral. Lineage: Eukaryota; Viridiplantae; Streptophyta; Magnoliopsida; Fabales; Fabaceae.